UACGAAGGGGGCAAGCGUUGUUCGGAAUUACUGGGCGUAAAGCGCGCGCAGGCGGUCUUCCAAGUCAGUGGUGAAAGCCCGGAGCUCAACUCCGGAAUUGCCAUUGAAACUGUUAGACUUGAGGAUGAGAGAGGUGAGUGGAAUUCCCAGUGUAGAGGUGAAAUUCGUAGAUAUUGGGAAGAACACCGGUGGCGAAGGCGGCUCACUGGCGCAUUACUGACGCUCAGGCGCGAUAGCGUGGGGAGCAAACAGG
This 253-nucleotide ribosomal RNA is filed under the name uncultured bacterium. Its description in RNAcentral is "partial 16S ribosomal RNA". It matches the Rfam family "Bacterial small subunit ribosomal RNA", at positions 524 to 776 of the family's 1533-position model. The record is from RNAcentral.